RNAcentral lists this ribosomal RNA (332 nucleotides) under uncultured eukaryote. Its description in RNAcentral is "partial 18S ribosomal RNA". It matches the Rfam family "Eukaryotic small subunit ribosomal RNA", at positions 1470 to 1796 of the family's 1831-position model. The record is from RNAcentral.
CCCUUCGAUGUUCUGGGCUGCACACGUGCUACACUGGCAGGUUCAGCGAGCUUCAUGCCCUGAUCUGAAAGGAAUGGGAAAUCUUUUCAAAACCUGCCGUGCUUGGGAUAGAUGUUUGCAAUUAUUCAUCUUCAACGAGGAUUGCCUUGUAAGCGCACGUCAUCAGCGUGCAUUGAAUACGACCCUGUAUUCUGUACACACCGCCCGUCGCUCCUACCGAUUGAAGUUUUCGGUGAGUUGACAGGAGGAUUUUUUUGAAACUGGUUCGCCAGUGGAUUUUAGAUCCAAAUGCCAACGAAUCGAUGGCUUUAGAGGAAGGAGAAGUCGUAACA